AUUGAACGCUGGCGGCAGGCCUAACACAUGCAAGUCGAGCGGAUGAAGGGAGCUUGCUCCUGGAUUCAGCGGCGGACGGGUGAGUAAUGCCUAGGAAUCUGCCUGGUAGUGGGGGAUAACGUCCGGAAACGGGCGCUAAUACCGCAUACGUCCUGAGGGAGAAAGUGGGGGAUCUUCGGACCUCACGCUAUCAGAUGAGCCUAGGUCGGAUUAGCUAGUUGGUGGGGUAAAGGCCUACCAAGGCGACGAUCCGUAACUGGUCUGAGAGGAUGAUCAGUCACACUAGAACUGAGACACGGUCCAGACUCCUACGGGAGGCAGCAGUGGGGAAUAUUGGACAAUGGGCGAAAGCCUGAUCCAGCCAUGUCGCGUGUGUGAAGAAGGUCUUCGGAUUGUAAAGCACUUUAAGUUGGGAGGAAGGGCAGUAAGUUAAUACCUUGCUGUUUUGACGUUACCAACAGAAUAAGCACCGGCUAACUUCGUG
Molecule: ribosomal RNA, 484 nt
Filed under: uncultured bacterium
Lineage: Bacteria
Description: partial 16S ribosomal RNA
Rfam family: Bacterial small subunit ribosomal RNA
Source: RNAcentral